CCUCAGAUUUUCUUUCUUCCUCUCUCGGAUUCCCUCUCAGUCGGUGUUUGAGGGUCGCGCGGGCGUAGUCUCGAGUGGUGCGAACUCGCGCUGCGAGCGACGAGGUGUGCCGAGGUUGCGAGCGACGAGGGUGUGCCGAGGUUGCGAGCGACGAAGGCUGCGCGAGGUUUGGUUCGAGCGGUGCGCAGGCGUGUCGAGUUGUGCGCGACGGUGUUCGAAAGGCUGCGAGAAAUCGUCGCAGGUUGGUGCGUGGUUUGUGCGAGUUCUGUCGCACGAGGGUUUCGGUUGUUGCGCGGGAUUGUGCGAACCAGCAAGGCUGGUGUGGGUGUCCGUGGGCGACGAGCGAAACCGGGCGAGGCUACUGCACUCGUGUGGUGUGGUGUUUCGAUUCCGGAGGUCGGUCGCCGGAGUUCUUUUGCCGGCGAGAUUUAGCGGUCCCAAUUUCAUAAGCGGCUCGUUCUAUUAAGUCAGCGAAAAUUCUCCGUUACAAGACUAGGUGAGCUGGUGCUGCUGCAUGACAUCAAGCAUAUGGGGGCUAGACUGUAGUUGAAGUUAACUUUUGGUUUGAUCAUUAAUGAAUUUUAUAGAACAUUAUUACAUGGUUUGAGUUUGAAUAAAGAGGGGUCAUCUAUGAUUCCCGAGUUGUAAUUACAUUUUCUAUUCCGCUGCAAUUUGGUUUUGAGACAA
Beta vulgaris subsp. vulgaris (sugar beet) is the source of this 687-nucleotide long non-coding RNA. RefSeq lists it as uncharacterized. Lineage: Eukaryota; Viridiplantae; Streptophyta; Magnoliopsida; Caryophyllales; Amaranthaceae. The record is from RefSeq and is a predicted model, not a curated record. The transcript has 3 exons.